RNAcentral lists this ribosomal RNA (465 nucleotides) under uncultured bacterium. Its description in RNAcentral is "partial 16S ribosomal RNA". It matches the Rfam family "Bacterial small subunit ribosomal RNA", at positions 338 to 795 of the family's 1533-position model. The record is from RNAcentral.
CCUACGGGUGGCAGCAGUAGGGAAUCUUCCACAAUGGGCGAAAGCCUGAUGGAGCAACGCCGCGUGGGUGAAGAAUGUCUUCGGAUCGUAAAACCCUGUUGUUAGAGAAGAAAGUGCGUGAGAGUAACUGUUCACGUUUCGACGGUAUCUAACCAGAAAGCCACGGCUAACUACGUGCCAACAGCCGCGGUAAUACGUAGGUGGCAAGCGUUAUCCGGAUUGAUUGGGCGUAAAGGGAACGCAGGCGGUCUUUUAAGUCUGAUGUGAAAGCCUUCGGCUUAACCGGAGUAGUGCAUUGGAAACUGGUAGACUAGAGUGCGGAAGAGGAGAGUGGAACUCUAGGUGUAGCGGUGAAAUGCGUAGAGAUAAGGAAGAAUACCAGUGGCGAAGGCGGCUCUCUGGUCCGUAACUGACGCUGAGGUUCGAAAGCGUGGGUAGCAAACAGGAUUAGAUACCCUAGUAGUC